This 22-nucleotide small nuclear RNA is filed under the name Arabidopsis thaliana (thale cress). RNAcentral describes it as "snRNA_16410". Lineage: Eukaryota; Viridiplantae; Streptophyta; Magnoliopsida; Brassicales; Brassicaceae. The record is from RNAcentral.
AGUUCGUCGUCGUAUUCGAGCG